This 499-nucleotide ribosomal RNA is filed under the name uncultured Eubacteriales bacterium. Its description in RNAcentral is "bacterial SSU rRNA". It matches the Rfam family "Bacterial small subunit ribosomal RNA", at positions 8 to 507 of the family's 1533-position model. The record is from RNAcentral. Lineage: Bacteria; Bacillati; Bacillota; Clostridia; Eubacteriales.
AGAGUUUGAUCCUGGCUCAGGAUGAACGCUGGCGGCGUGCUUAACACAUGCAAGUCGAACGAAGCACUUGAGAACGAUUCUUCGGAUGAGGACUUUUGUGACUGAGUGGCGGACGGGUGAGUAACGCGUGGGUAACCUGCCCUAUACAGGGGGAUAACAGUUAGAAAUGACUGCUAAUACCGCAUAAGCGCACAGGACCGCAUGGUUCGGUGUGAAAAACUGAGGUGGUAUAGGAUGGACCCGCGUCUGAUUAGCUUGUUGGUGGGGUAACGGCUCACCAAGGCGACGAUCAGUAGCCGGCCUGAGAGGGCGACCGGCCACAUUGGGACUGAGACACGGCCCAAACUCCUACGGGAGGCAGCAGUGGGGAAUAUUGCACAAUGGGGGAAACCCUGAUGCAGCGACGCCGCGUGAGUGAAGAAGUAUUUCGGUAUGCAAAGCUCUAUCAGCAGGGAAGAAAAUGACGGUACCUGACUAAGAAGCCCCGGCUAACUACGUG